AUUGAACGCUGGCGGCAGGCCUAACACAUGCAAGUCGAGCGGAGCGGCGGACGGGUGAGUAAUGCCUAUGCAUCUGCCUGGUCGUGGGGGAGAACGUCCGGAAACGGGCGCUAAUUACUCAUACUAUCAGAUGAGUCUAGGCCGGAUUAGCUAGUUGGUGGGGUAAAGGCUUACCAAGGCGACGAUCCGUAACUGGUCUGUGAGGAUGAUCAGUCACACUGGAACUGAGACACGGUCCAGACUCCUACGGGAGGCAGCAGUGGGGAAUAUUGGACAAUGGGCGAAAGCCUGAUACAGCCAUGCCGCGUGUGUGAAGAAGGUCUUCGGGUUGUAAAGCACUUUAAGUUGGGAGGCGUUACCAACAGAAUAAGCACCGGCUAACUUCGUGCCAGCAGCCGCGGUAAUUC
RNAcentral lists this ribosomal RNA (407 nucleotides) under uncultured bacterium. RNAcentral's name for it is "partial 16S ribosomal RNA". It matches the Rfam family "Bacterial small subunit ribosomal RNA", at positions 30 to 526 of the family's 1533-position model. The record is from RNAcentral.